RNAcentral lists this non-coding RNA (78 nucleotides) under Oscillospiraceae bacterium. The record is from RNAcentral. Lineage: Bacteria; Bacillati; Bacillota; Clostridia; Eubacteriales; Oscillospiraceae.
AGCCGAAACAAGCAAGCACUGAAUGUGCCUGCUUGUCUGCAGGGAAUGACCGCCCUGCGCUGAUGAUGGCAGGUCGGA